GGCUUAGUGGUUUGAAUGUUGGACUAUGACUCUGGAGACCUGGGUUUGAAUCCCAGCUCGGCCA
RNAcentral lists this transfer RNA (64 nucleotides) under Phrynosoma platyrhinos (Desert horned lizard). Its description in RNAcentral is "tRNA-OTHER". It matches the Rfam family "tRNA". From Rfam's summary of the family: Transfer RNA (tRNA) molecules are approximately 80 nucleotides in length. Their secondary structure includes four short double-helical elements and three loops (D, anti-codon, and T loops). Lineage: Eukaryota; Metazoa; Chordata; Lepidosauria; Squamata; Phrynosomatidae. The record is from RNAcentral.